CCUACGGGUGGCAGCAGUAGGGAAUAUUGGGCAAUGGGCGCAAGCCUGACCCAGCAACGCCGCGUGAAGGAAGAAGGCCCUCGGGUUGUAAACUUCUUUUUUCACGGAAGAAACUAAUGAUGGUACUUGAUGAAUAAGCCACGGCUAACUACGUGCCAGCCGCAGCGGUAAUACGUAGGGUGCAAGCGUUCUGCGGAUUUACUCGGUGUACAGGGCGAGUAGGCGGGACUGCAAGUAAGAUGUGAAACCCAUGGGCUCAACCCAUGGCCUGCAUUUGAUACUGUAGUUCUAGAGUUUUGUAGAGGCAGGCGGAAUUCCUGGUGUAGCGGUGAAAUGCGUAGAGAUACGGAGGAACACCAGUUGCGAAGGCGGCCUGCUAGACAAUAACUGACGCUGAGGCGCGAAAGCGUGGGGAGCAAACAGGAUUAGAUACCCUAGUAGUC
This 443-nucleotide ribosomal RNA is filed under the name uncultured bacterium. Its description in RNAcentral is "partial 16S ribosomal RNA". It matches the Rfam family "Bacterial small subunit ribosomal RNA", at positions 338 to 795 of the family's 1533-position model. The record is from RNAcentral.